UCAGAAUCAGUCCUUGUUAUAGUAUCUGC
Molecule: non-coding RNA, 29 nt
Filed under: Rattus norvegicus (Norway rat)
Lineage: Eukaryota; Metazoa; Chordata; Mammalia; Rodentia; Muridae
Source: RNAcentral